This 712-nucleotide ribosomal RNA is filed under the name uncultured bacterium. RNAcentral describes it as "bacterial SSU rRNA". It matches the Rfam family "Bacterial small subunit ribosomal RNA", at positions 41 to 773 of the family's 1533-position model. The record is from RNAcentral.
GUCGAGCGAAGCGAUUUAAGUGAAGUUUUCGGAUGGAUCUUAGAUUGACUGACCGUCGGACGGGUGAGUAACGCGUGGAUAACCUGCCUCACACAGGGGGAUAACAGUUAGAAAUGACUGCUAAUACCGCAUAAGCGCACGGUACCGCAUGGUACAGUGUGAAAAACUCCGGUGGUGUGAGAUGGAUCCGCGUCUGAUUAGGUAGUUGGUGAGGUAACAGCCCACCAAGCCGACGAUCAGUAGCCGACCUGAGAGGGUGACCGGCCACAUUGGGACUGAGACACGGCCCAAACUCCUACGGGAGGCAGCAGUGGGGAAUAUUGCAUAAUGGGCGAAAGCCUGAUGCAGCAACGCCGCGUGAGUGAAGAAGUAUCUCGGUAUGUAAAGCUCUAUCAGCAGGGAAGAAAAUGACGGUACCUGACUAAGAAGCCCCGGCUAACUACGUGCCAGCAGCCGCGGUAAUACGUAGGGGGCAAGCGUUAUCCGGAUUUACUGGGUGUAAAGGGAGCGCAGACGGCACUGCAAGUCUGAAGUGAAAGCCCGGGGCUCAACCCCGGGACUGCUUUGGAAACUGUAGAGCUAGAGUGCUGGAGAGGCAAGCGGAAUUCCUAGUGUAGCGGUGAAAUGCGUAGAUAUUAGGAAGAACACCAGUGGCGAAGGCGGCUUGCUGGACAGUAACUGACGUUCAGGCUCGAAAGCGUGGGGAGCAAAC